Long non-coding RNA from Homo sapiens (human), 4158 nucleotides. Ensembl annotates it as long intergenic non-protein coding RNA 899. The record is from Ensembl. NCBI's taxonomy places the organism in Eukaryota, Metazoa, Chordata, Mammalia, Primates, Hominidae.
GCAAAAGUGGCCAAGCCACAUCUCUCGAGACUGCAAGGGCCCUGGAGGCGCUGGGAGGCACAGAUCUGGCUGCCAGCUGGGCCUGAGGCCUCCCUUUGUCCGUCCUUCCUGUUCUUCCUCACCAGGUGUGUUUACGGAGAAGACACUCCGGGCCAGGCCAGCUCCUCCAGAGCACUAUUUCAGGCUGGGGAGAAUGCGGAUUUUUUUUUUGUUGUUGUUUUUUAAAGAAAAAUGAACAAGGAGCCUGGUUGGGGAUUGGGGUGGGAGGAAUAUUUGUCUUUUGUCCCACAAACGUGUGUGAUGCUCCAAAGGGCUGGAGAACCUCUCUCUUAAGUGGAUAUUUUUCCCCUCAAACGACUUCUCAGACAUGAUCCUCUCUGAGGUUGGUCCUGGGCUUCCAUACGUGAUUCAUGGAAGAGGUCUCAGCCCCAAGAGCCCCUGAGGGUACUGUCCACUCCCCCUGGAAACUUCCAGAACCUGACGUGGGGCUGAAGACAUAGAGGUAAUGGGGAUGGGCUGGUGGGGCGCUGGCUGGGACAAUGUGUGGAGCCCUUGUUUUCAGAGCUACAGAUGCUUGUCAGCUGACAGUUCGUUUCCAGCAUCCACAGUGGACCUCCUUUGGGGGAGCAUUUACCUGCCAAUGAACCCCAAGAUCCUUUCUCAGAGGCGGCGGGAUGAAGUUUUCCUUUUUUUUUUUUUUAGUUAAUAUAUUUUAUUUAAACCAAUAUAUCCAAAAUAUUAUCAGUUCAACAUACGAUCAAGAUAAAGAUUAAUGAGAUACUUUACAUUUUCAUACUAAAUCUUUUUUUAAAUUUUUGUGAGUACAUAGUAGGUAUAAACAUUUAGGGAUGAAGUUUCUUACUGUGUUUUCCCAGUAACAAGCACUGGCAUCAGCUGUCAUGAUUUCUCCCCAAGGCCUAGGAUGGUCAGCCUCGCACGCUCCACAGCAGAGUGACUGAAGCUCUAUCGAGGUGUGGCACGAGCGUGUUGUCAUUUCAAGAGAAUCUGCAGCCUCCCUGGUUUUUAAUGAAAGCUCCUAUGCAGGGCCUGGCCCUUUCCUGGGGAGGGAAGGCUGGCUGUGUCUCCCGCUGCAUCCUCACUGGGAACUUCAUUCCUGAGCUGCGACCGCUAUUUUUUGGAUUGGAAAAUGCCUUGGGAACGGCUCAUCUUCCUGCGGCUUGAGCCCAUUUGUUUUCUGACUGGUGGUCACUGGUGAUUAGAGUGUGUCCCAAAGGGAACCGUCACCUUAGUUCUAUCAUACACUAUCAAUAACUUGUCCAGGGCUGACUUUGUGGCUGUGUGGCUUGCCCAGUGGUAGAGGGCCGGUGUGCAGAAGGGCCCCACACUCAAUGUUUGGCUGUCCCCGGUCUUAAAAUUCUUAGUCAUUCUUGAACAAGGGAACCCAUAUUUUCAUUUUGUUCUAGGCUCUGAGAGUUACAUAAUUGAUUCUGACUUUGGCUGUUGGUCAACAGUGUCAUAAGGUAAAAUAAGGUAAAAAUCUAUGAUUUUUAUAUUUCUUUUUUUCUUUCUUUCUUUUUCCUUUUUUUUUUUUUUUUUUUUUUUGAGACACAGUCUUGCUCUGUCACCAGGGUGGAGUGCAGUGGCGCAGUGGUGCGAUCUUGGCUCACUGCAACCUCCGCCUCCCGAGUUCAAGCGAUUCUCCUGCCUCAGCCUCCUGAGUAGCUGGGACUACAGGUGCGCACCAUCAUGCCCAGCUAAUUUUUGUAUUUUUAGUAGAGACGGGAUUUCACCAUGUUGGCCAGGGUGGUGGUCUCGAUCUCCUGAACUUGUGAUCCGCCCACCUCGGCCUCCCAAAGUGCUGGGAUUACAGGCGUGAGCCAACGUGCCCAGCUGAUUUUUAUAUUUCUUUUACUAAAUUCUGUUUACAGAAAUAAUUCCAGAUUCUAUGUAAGAUACAAAUAUUUUAACUGAAGAUCAUUGUAUUUAGGGAAAAUGUUCACCUUUAAGAGACAGGGGCUGGGCGUUGUGGCUCACGCCUGUAAUCCCAGCACUUUGGGAGGCCGAGGCUGGUGGAUCGCACGAGCCCAGGAAUUCCAGACCAGCCUGGGCAACACGGCGAAACCCUGUCUAUGCAAAAUAUACAAAAAUUAGCCAAGCAUGGGGGUGUGCACCUGUAACUCCCAGCUACUCCAGAGGCUGAGGUGGGAAGACUGCUCAAGCCCGGGAGGUCAAAGCUGCAGUGAGAGACCUUGUCUUAAAUACAAACAGGCAGGAAGUCGUUAUAAGCAUAAUACAAUCCUGGAUGUUGGAAUCAUCCCUGUCCAGCCUUGGCUCUGCCACGUGGGUGCUGAAUGCUGCCUCAGGGACCCUGGUGCCCAGCUCCCACCUGCAGGGUGUUCUGAGGAGCCAGCACGCUGGGAGGGCCUAGCAGGAGAUGUGGCAUGAACCAGGUAUUCGAUAAAUAAAAAGUGCCUUUGAUUGUCACGUUUAUCAUUUGACAUGUAGGCACAGGUGCAGUUUGAUUAUUUUUAAUGUAAGUCUAUUUUAUCUCUUCCCGUUAUAAAAGCAAUACACACUGUGAUAGACGGUUUGGAGAAUUCAGGAAAGAAAAAGAAAAAGAAAAAAAAUUCCUCCUAGGCCCUCUGCUCCAGAGCCUCCAGCCGUCACAUGACAGUGUAUUUCUUUACAAUUACAGAAAUAGAUACGUGACUGUUACAUUUUGAAACUUUUUCUUUUACCUUGACUUAUUUUUAAAUAGAAACACUAGUGAGGCCCCACAGAACUGAGCAGAACUAAUGGCCCCCCAUGUGGUGGAAUAGUUCUGAGCUGGCCCCACUUUGGAUGCAGCCUUCCCCGGCAAGUCUAAACCCAGUCUCUGUGGCUGCCUGUUCACAGGGACCGUGGACUGUGAUGUUUACAGUACGAAAGCACUGGGAGAGAACGCUACAUCACAAAGUGUCCUUAACCUGCUGCCGCCUCAGCUUUCCCAUUUGUGACUUGGUUAAAAAAAAUUUUUUUGACAGUUUUAAGCUCUUAUUUUAAUUUCCACAGGCUGUUGUAGAAUCUGCUCAGCCAGGGAGGGGAAAGGAGUCGGCAAUCAGGUCUCCUCCUGGGCACCUUUGUGAGGCCAGCUGGCGAGAGUGGGGGGUGACACUGAGGUCCCAGCAGCUCCAAAUGCAGGCAGAGCCCUGUCCUCAGAGAAGGUCACAGCCUAGCCAAGCCCAGCCAGGUGGAUGGGCCCACGGAACGCACAGGAACCUGGAACGGAGGUUGAAAGCAGGAAGCACAGUCUGUGACUCCCCAGCCCACUCUGCAUUCGACCACUUGGGGCCCAGAAGCUUCAGGAAAGGUGCACAAGGUCACUGGGUCCCAGUACUCCCAACAGGAAGGUCUGGUCCAGGGACAGGGCUCUUCCCGACUCCCCUUAGCCACACGCACCAGAAGUUCUGCAGUGCCCAGUGGGCAUAGCAGUCCCCAAGAAUGACCCAGCACUGAAGCUGAGCCAAAGAACUUGGGGAGCGAGCCACACCCCCUCACUCCCUCUUCGCCUGCUCCAGACUUGCCAGGCGGUUGCUUUUCGUGGGAACCGGGAUGUCCUCACCACCCUGUCCAGGGCCCAGCCCCAUGUCCCUGGCCUGCUACAGCUGGAAAAAAAAAAGAGAGAUGUUUGUUUUUAUUUGUUUAUAAAAAGAAAAGUGUUAUAUAUAUAACAUAUUAUACCUCAUGAAUACAUACAAUUAUUUGUCAAUUAACAAUAAAGAAAAAUACAGCAAGCAAAAAAGACUCUCUUCCACAAAAAUAGUGUUCAUUACAGAAAAGUACAAAAAAAAAAAAAAAAAACUAAGAGGAUAUUUAGAAUUAAGAAAAAACUAAGAGGGUAUUUAGAAUUAAAAAAUAAAAAGAAAACAAUUACCCAUGAGGUAAUUACUGAAUGCAUUUGGUUGAAAGUCCUUCUGCUAUAUUUUCCAAACUGUAUGUGUAUAUAUGUGCGCAUGCAUAUAUGUGUUUGUGUGUGUGUACACAUAUCUAUAUGAAUGGACCAUAUCGUAAGUUAUAAAUGCAUACAUAUAUUCAUGUAUAUAUAAUCAUUAGAUCAUACUAUAGGUUAUUUUACAGUCUUUUUGUUGAAUACGUUGUGAGCAUUUUAUGUCAUUAUUUUCUACAAGAUUUGAAAAAUAAAGUAUAAAUACCAGUUAA